RNAcentral lists this long non-coding RNA (733 nucleotides) under Homo sapiens (human). RNAcentral's name for it is "non-protein coding lnc-ORC6-3:1". Lineage: Eukaryota; Metazoa; Chordata; Mammalia; Primates; Hominidae. The record is from RNAcentral.
CGGGGCGGGAGGCCGGCGAGUCACCCACGACCACACUCAGGGUCAAAACGCAAUUCUGAAAGAGCAAGAAAGUUCAGAAAGUCCAUUGCUACGGCCAGGAAGUUCCAGACCCCUCAAGCCUUCACGUGUGACUACGGGAUGAGUGCGGGGUAAGCAGACACUAGGCUGGACAACAGCCACCAGUGUCCUGAGGUCUGAGCUUUUGCCGCACAGUCACCUAGGGAGCGACGUCGGCCAGGAGUGCGGGAAGAAGUUUCCUGUGAAGGCAGUGGAGAAAGCUGAGAAAUGCCACACAGCGGAGAAGCCGUUUGUGAAAUGUGCACAAAAGAGGGAGACUCCGUCUCAAAAAAAUAAGGAUACACACACAGACAUAACGCACACACACUGGAUGUAAGCCCUACAGUUGUGAGCUGUGUGGAAAAUUAUUUAUUCGUGCCCCAGACUUAAAGCACUGUCAGAGAGUUCACAAUAACAAAAGAGUUUGCAUGCCAGGUGAGUGACAAAGCCUUCAAACCCAAGUCCCACCUCAAGAUCACGAAAGAGGACACAGAAGGGAAAUGCCUUGCGUGUGGCUCCUGCACUGAGGCAUUUAUUUGCCAAGGAGUCUGCUCCGUAAAGGCAUGAGAACCAUGUGCACAGUGAAAGGAUGCAGGUUACCCACAGUGCCAUCCAGCAGGGGACCCAGCUGCUGCAGGUGGCAUUGAUGGCGGAAGCAGAGCAGCAGCUGGAAACA